RNAcentral lists this ribosomal RNA (302 nucleotides) under uncultured bacterium. Its description in RNAcentral is "bacterial SSU rRNA". It matches the Rfam family "Bacterial small subunit ribosomal RNA", at positions 28 to 334 of the family's 1533-position model. The record is from RNAcentral.
GACGAACGCUGGCGGCGUGCUUUAUACAUGCAAGUCGAACGAGAAGCUGACUUCGGUCAGUGGAAAGUGGCGGACGGGUGAGUAAAAUGUAGAGAAUCUGCCCUUGAGCGGGGGAUAACAGUCGGAAACGAUUGCUAAUACCCCAUAUGAGGUGAGUUGAAAUACUUAUCUUGAAAACUCCGGUGCUCAAGGAUGAGUCUGCAUCUGAUUAGCUAGUUGGUGGUGUAAUGGACCACCAAGGCGAUGAUCAGUAGCUGGUUUGAGAGGAUGAUCAGCCACAAUGGGACUGAGACACGGCCCAU